This 341-nucleotide long non-coding RNA is filed under the name Pan troglodytes (chimpanzee). Its description in RNAcentral is "long non-coding RNA NONPTRT013666". The record is from RNAcentral. Lineage: Eukaryota; Metazoa; Chordata; Mammalia; Primates; Hominidae.
UUACAAGAUAUUGCAGACUAUCUUGUUUUCCUAGAAAAGGAUUUUAUCUCAGUCGACUGAAUUACUUUUUUCACUGUGUCUUGCCACUCUUCGUGCAUGCAUCAAAGACCCUAAUAUGACUUCUGGUGGCCUGGGACUCCUUGGGAAAACAGAAAAGGGGCCACAAAUCCCAUUUUGGGAACAAUCUGUUUUACUCAUGGAACCCCUGGAAUUAGAGGUGUGUAAGUACCUCUCAAAAUCUGUCUUUGUCUUCUGGCUAUGCUUUUUAUGAGGCCCUGGAAUUUGUAGUCCUAGCCCUGUUCUUAGAGUGUCUCACUAGGAGGCGUAAUAAUCCAAUUAGG